AGUCGCAAGACCGCGAGGUUUAGCAAAUCUCUUAAAGCCGUUCUCAGUUCGGAUUGUAGGCUGCAACUCGCCUACAUGAAGUCGGAAUCGCUAGUAAUCGCGGAUCAGCAUGCCGCGGUGAAUACGUUCCCGGGCCUUGUACACACCGCCCGUCACACCAUGAGAGUUUGUAACACCCAAAGCCGGUGGGGUAACCUUUUGGAGCCAGCCGUCUAAGGUGGGACAGAUGAUUAGGGUGAAGUCGUAACAAGGUAAC
This 256-nucleotide ribosomal RNA is filed under the name uncultured bacterium. Its description in RNAcentral is "partial 16S ribosomal RNA". It matches the Rfam family "Bacterial small subunit ribosomal RNA", at positions 1245 to 1500 of the family's 1533-position model. The record is from RNAcentral.